UCACUGGUUGUCCAGAGACUAAGACUGUGCACUCCCAAUGCAGGGGACCCAGGUUCAAUCCCUGGUCAGGGAA
Ovis aries (sheep) is the source of this 73-nucleotide transfer RNA. It matches the Rfam family "tRNA". Rfam says of the family: Transfer RNA (tRNA) molecules are approximately 80 nucleotides in length. NCBI's taxonomy places the organism in Eukaryota, Metazoa, Chordata, Mammalia, Artiodactyla, Bovidae. The record is from Rfam.